Molecule: antisense RNA, 69 nt
Filed under: Streptomyces bungoensis
Lineage: Bacteria; Bacillati; Actinomycetota; Actinomycetes; Kitasatosporales; Streptomycetaceae
Description: ASpks TB sRNA
Rfam family: ASpks TB sRNA
Source: Rfam by way of RNAcentral
CUUCAUGGAGCCGAGCCACAGGGGUUGUUCGCGGUUCUGCCCGUAGGUGGCGAGCAGGGCCGCGGCCUC